Aotus nancymaae (Ma's night monkey) is the source of this 104-nucleotide small nuclear RNA. The record is from Ensembl. Lineage: Eukaryota; Metazoa; Chordata; Mammalia; Primates; Aotidae.
GUUCUCACUUUAGCAGCACACAUCCUAAAGUUGAAAUGAUACACAGAUUAGCAUGGCCGCAGCCCAAGGAUGACAUGAAAAUUCAUGAAAUGUUCCAUAUAAAA